Physcomitrium patens is the source of this 3140-nucleotide non-coding RNA. The record is from RefSeq and is a predicted model, not a curated record. NCBI's taxonomy places the organism in Eukaryota, Viridiplantae, Streptophyta, Bryopsida, Funariales, Funariaceae.
CUCGGUUGUGGCUGAUUGAAGCUCACUCUUGUGCGUUACCGACAUCUCCCUCGAAACUUCGGCAUCCUGGAUCCGAGCCAAACGCGACCCAUUGCACAAUCCAACUGCUGGGUAAUUGAGGAUUCUUCGCUAUUUGCGCGUUGAUCUCCUCAAAUCGGCAGCUUUCUUACGCACGUCGAUGCUCUGGGAGUCCAUUCGACGGUGGGCCAUUCCUGGGGCUGGUUUCUUCUCGUCCCUGGGUCGCAAUGUGUGCCUUGUCGAUGAUGUUUCAGAAUCUCAGCUUGUGGGCUCGUGUGUCAGCGGCCUUAGUCUUUACUUGCGUGGGUUGUGCAAGGCUCACGGUUUAGGGUUUGAGUUCCAUGAUUUGAGGUUUAUGUGAUUUGGAGGUGUUUUUGUAGGAUUUGAGACAAGGAUGCAGCGCCCAUCAGUGUAUCGCACCAACCGAUUUUUUUGUGAUUUGUGUUUGUUACGUGAAUCCAGACGAAAUAUUGGCGAGAUCGUGGACCGUUUUUAAAGUUUAAUCCCAUUGCCUCGGAUUAGCUGUGCGGGUUUCCUUCGAGCAAUUCUAGAUGCCACGGUCUGCCAAGAAGCUACCUGUUAGCUAAAUUCUUCCCGCCUUGCAGCGCUUUGUCCAGUGAAGGAAGCGCUCAUCACUGAUUUGUAACCAGAGGGAGGCGUAGAUGCGGAGGGAGUGAUGGAAGGCGUAAGGGAAGAGACAACGUGGGAAUUUGCGCAGUUGGGAUCGGAACCAAGUGUUACCAGGAGGCUAAGUGAAGUGAAGAGGAGCGUGGUAGGAGUGUAAUUGAUGAUUAUGAUCAGCGAAACAUGAAGUGAAGAGAGGAGGGAAGGAUUAAUGGCGUCACAAUGGCUGCUUGCGGUUCUGAUCAGCAUGACGGGAGCGUUGCUGCUGUGGAAUCAGGCUCUGCUGGAGCCCUCUUGCGCGCCCGAUUCCACUGCUCCUUUUGCUCCUUCGUUCAAAGUGGUUGUUGUCGCCGAUCUUCACUUGGCAGGGCCUCGUACAGCGUGGGUGGAUCGUGUGCGCCGUGAGUCCUUUAUGCGAACCGUCUUUCAGAAAGCCUACCGGAGAUUGAAUCCCGAUGCGCUGGUUGUGCUCGGAGACGUGAGCGAUGCUGGUCGGAAGUCGAACGAUGCCCAGUGGAACGCAGUGGUGGCUCGAUUCUGGGAUAUGGUUCGCCCCUUCGCGGCCGUCCCCAUCCAGAUUGUGGUUGGAAAUCACGACGUCGGUGACCAUCACGAUCCUGGUUUCUCCCGGCGCCUGCCUCGCUUCGCUGCCUCAUUUCCUGGCUUGGACGACACAUGUGGGAGCCACUUCACCUGGCAUGGGGUGGAUUUUGUGUCCUUAAAUGCCAUGGCACUGCAUGGAGAUGGCUGCUCGGUUUGCUCCAGGGUGAAGGAACAUUUGGAAUCCACAAGCUCUGCAGUUCAGAGACAUCACAAGGAAAGUGGCCAAGAGCAAGAUAUACGAAGUCAUAAUAUUGAGGGAGGAGAUGGCGAUGGAGUCGUUAAGCCUGUUCUCCUUCUUCAUUUACCAUUGCAUCGUGCAGAUGAGAAUGCUUGCACCGUUGUAGACCUUCCACGUUGCGCACCAUGGCACGAUUUGGAAGGGAAUUGUUUGGAAGUGGGUUCAUCACCUCCACUAGUACCGCCUCAAGAAGACCCUUACAGAGUGGGCCAGGACGUAUUAUCGCUCGAAGCAUCGGCGCAAGUUCUCCAGUCAUUUCGACCACGACUGGUGUUCAGUGGACACACGCACCGCUGGUGUGACCUAGUGCAUGCGGAUGGCACAAGGGAGGUGACUGUGCCGUCGUUAAGCUGGCGCAACCGCGAUGAUCCCAGCUUUGUGCUGGCCACUUUUCAGUCAAACUCUAGCGCCUUCAGUAUCCAGCGCUGCAUGCUAGCUCGUGAGUCCACUGUGAUUCUGUUAUAUGUGUUGUGGGGGUUCACCAUGGUGAGCUGGUUGCUGGUCGCAGCAUUCGUUAUGCUCAGGCGGCUGAGGUCCAAGUCUGUGAAGCCGGAGUGACGCGUGGAGAUGAAGUCGGAGCAAAUGGAGACAGGGAAGGUGAGGAAUGGCAAGAUUCUAGAAUUGCGAAGUCAAGCACGAGUAUCCUAUUCCAUGGUAGGGAAACUUGUCAAGCGCCUGAGAUCUAGUGGGUUAGCAAACGGAGGGCCUACAACGAGGGAUCGCCGAAUCACUGGAACUGGGGCGAUUGGGGACCAACCCACCAAAGAAGAAAACGUCGAUCGUACAAUCUCCGCUAGCGCAGCUCCGAUCAUAAAAACUCAGCGUGGUGCGCAGAGUGUUGGCAAAGCAAACAGCAGACAUCAAUCCUUGGAAAGUGGAAUUCAUCCAUGCUCUCGCCACAACUGACUCAAGCUACCAUGACACCACCACCAGUCGAAAGAGCAACCACACACACACAAGCAUGCAUUCAUUCUUCCAUUCAUUCAUUCAUUCACUCACUUCACUCCAGACAUCGACUGCCAACCUCUCUCGCAAUGGCUGUAGAAAUUGCCAACUUUACUCCCUCCCCCCGUUCCCCCCUGCUGCUGCACAUGACUGGAUGUGUUUUUUUGUUGUUGUUCUAUUCCACUGUCAGAGAGAGAGUGAGAGAAUGAACACGUCAAGGUGGUGGUGGUGGUGGUGGUGAUGGUUAUGGAGAGAUUGAAUGUCCGUCCGGAUCUCUGGAUCCUGAUUGUAUGUGUGAGUGAGUGAGUCAGUGAAUCUAUCGGGGAAGGUGGUUUGGCUGCAAUAUGUGCAGGUCUUCCCUUCUCCUCCUGGUCAGCCCUUCCUUUCCUUAUAACAAGAGCCCCCCCCCCCACCCCCCCCUGUUUAACUAAACCGCAUCAUGCGAAUGUCCUGUCUGGAUGGGUUGGUGCAAAGCUGCACUUAUGGUGACAAUUCCCUGGUUUUGAUGACAGCCAGACACAGCCAGCCAGCCCGACAGACUCAGUAAAUGAGUGAAUGAGUGAUUUAUUGAAGGAUGGAAGGAUGGAUAGAUAGAUAGAUAGAUUGAUAGAUUGAUAAAUAAAUAAAUAAAUAAAUAAAUGGAGGGGAUGUGUGUUUGUGUGUUUCUUCAUGAAUGAAUGAGGGGUCUGAAUUAUGAACUGAUUGGGUGAAU